This 85-nucleotide transfer RNA is filed under the name Roseibium hamelinense. Its description in RNAcentral is "tRNA-Leu". It matches the Rfam family "tRNA". Rfam says of the family: Transfer RNA (tRNA) molecules are approximately 80 nucleotides in length. Their secondary structure includes four short double-helical elements and three loops (D, anti-codon, and T loops). The record is from RNAcentral. Lineage: Bacteria; Pseudomonadati; Pseudomonadota; Alphaproteobacteria; Hyphomicrobiales; Stappiaceae. RNAcentral also lists the same sequence under 4 other names.
GCGGACGUGGCGAAACUGGUAGACGCAAGGGACUUAAAAUCCCUCGACUUCGGUCAUACGGGUUCGAGUCCCGUCGUCCGCACCA